GUGAAUCAUCAAAUCUUUGAACGCAAAUUGCACUCCCUGGUAUUCCGGGGAGUAUGCCUGUUUGAGGGUCGUUAGAAUAAAAAAUCGAUUCUUCUCUCUUUUUUUUAAGGGUUUUCGCGUCGGAAUUGAGCACUCUUUCAAUUUUUAAUUCAGUUGAAAGUUGCUUGAAAUUCAUCCAUCCGGUACGAUUGAAGCGUGUUUAAGAUCAAUUUUGUUUGUGAAGGCGCGAUGACUUAUCAUUU
This 242-nucleotide unclassified non-coding RNA is filed under the name Glomeraceae sp. RNAcentral describes it as "partial contains 5.8S ribosomal RNA and internal transcribed spacer 2". The stretch from base 1 to 71 matches the Rfam family "5.8S ribosomal RNA", at positions 84 to 154 of the family's 154-position model. The record is from RNAcentral. Lineage: Eukaryota; Fungi; Glomeromycota; Glomeromycetes; Glomerales; Glomeraceae.